AAAAAAGAUACAUGCAUUAGUACCAGUGCUCCUGGGGCAUUAUUUUCUAACAGAAAAAACGAAAGAAGAAGUCUAAUUGCAAUGAAUACCACUCACAAUUCUACAGCUUGGGAAUGCUACAUACUUUGCAUGAGAAGAAAGUAAAGGCUCAAGGCCACUACCACUCCGAGGCUAUCUUGAAAAUGCAAUGGAAACAGAAGCUUCUUUUCCCUGUUCACAGAAGAAAACAAAUCAGGAAAUUAG
Long non-coding RNA from Ahaetulla prasina, 243 nucleotides. RefSeq lists it as uncharacterized. The transcript has 3 exons. Lineage: Eukaryota; Metazoa; Chordata; Lepidosauria; Squamata; Colubridae. The record is from RefSeq and is a predicted model, not a curated record.